CAGUAGCCGCGGGAAUACGUAGGGUGCGAGCGUUAAUCGGAAUUACUGGGCGUAAAGCGUGCGCAGGCGGUUGUGCAAGACAGAUGUGAAAUCCCCGAGCUUAACUUGGGAACUGCAUUUGUGACUGCACGGCUAGAGUGUGUCAGAGGGGGGUAGAAUUCCACGUGUAGCAGUGAAAUGCGUAGAUAUGUGGAGGAAUACCGAUGGCGAAGGCAGCCCCCUGGGAUAACACUGACGCUCAUGCACGAAAGCGUGGGGAGCAAACAGGAUUAGAGACCCGAGUAGUCCCUGUCUCUUAUAC
RNAcentral lists this ribosomal RNA (301 nucleotides) under uncultured bacterium. Its description in RNAcentral is "partial 16S ribosomal RNA". It matches the Rfam family "Bacterial small subunit ribosomal RNA", at positions 509 to 807 of the family's 1533-position model. The record is from RNAcentral.